RNAcentral lists this ribosomal RNA (499 nucleotides) under uncultured bacterium. Its description in RNAcentral is "partial 16S ribosomal RNA". It matches the Rfam family "Bacterial small subunit ribosomal RNA", at positions 30 to 523 of the family's 1533-position model. The record is from RNAcentral.
AUUGAACGCUGGCGGCAUGCCUUACACAUGCAAGUCGAACGGUAACGGGUCCUUCGGGAUGCCGACGAGUGGCGAACGGGUGAGUAUAUAUCGGAACGUGCCCAGUAGUGGGGGAUAACUGCUCGAAAGAGCAGCUAAUACCGCAUACGACCUGAGGGUGAAAGGGGGGGAUCGCAAGACCUCUCGCUAUUGGAGCGGCCGAUAUCAGAUUAGCUAGUUGGUGGGGUAAAGGCCUACCAAGGCAACGAUCUGUAGUUGGUCUGAGAGGACGACCAGCCACACUGGGACUGAGACACGGCGCAGACUCCUACGGGAGGCAGCAGUGGGGAAUUUUGGACAAUGGGCGCAAGCCUGAUCCAGCAAUGCCGCGUGCAGGAAGAAGGCCUUCGGGUUGUAAACUGCUUUUGUCAGGGAAGAAAUCUUCUGGGCUAAUACCCCGGGAGGAUGACGGUACCUGAAGAAUAAGCACCGGCUAACUACGUGCCAGCCGCCGCGGUAA